This 58-nucleotide small RNA is filed under the name Kluyvera ascorbata. RNAcentral describes it as "Enterobacterial sRNA STnc450". It matches the Rfam family "Enterobacterial sRNA STnc450". The record is from RNAcentral. Lineage: Bacteria; Pseudomonadati; Pseudomonadota; Gammaproteobacteria; Enterobacterales; Enterobacteriaceae. RNAcentral also lists the same sequence under 1 other name.
CGCUAUACUAACCUCUGAAAUUGCCGGCCCAUCUCCUUCGGGCCGGUUUUCAAUGUGU